UAACGAAUCUUCCGCAAUGGGCGAAAGCCUGACGGAGCGACGCCGCGUGUAGGAGAAGCCCUUCGGGGUGUAAACUACUGUCAGGGGUUAGAAAGUUCUGAUCAACCCCAGAGGAAGGCACGGCUAACUCUGUGCCAGCAGCCGCGGUAAGACAGAGGUGCCAAGCGUUAGGCGGAAUCACUGGGCUUAAAGCGUGUGUAGGCGGGUCGUUAAGUACCUUGUGAAAUCCCACGGCUCAACCGUGGAACUGCUUGGUAUACUGGCGAUCUUGAGCCACUUAGGGGUUACCGGAACAAACGGUGGUGAAAUGCGUAGAGAUCGGCAGGAACACCCAGGGGGAAACCAGCCGCCUGGGCACGCGCUGACGCUGAGGUGCGAGAGCGUGGGGAGCGAACCGGAUUAGAUACCCGGGUAGUCCACGCCGUAAACGAUGGCCACUCGGCCUUUGGGUGCGGAACUUCCGUGCCUGGGGGCCUGAGCUAACGCACUAAGUGGCCCGCCUGGGAACUACGAGCGCAAG
This 520-nucleotide ribosomal RNA is filed under the name uncultured bacterium. RNAcentral describes it as "bacterial SSU rRNA". It matches the Rfam family "Bacterial small subunit ribosomal RNA", at positions 355 to 892 of the family's 1533-position model. The record is from RNAcentral.